RNAcentral lists this ribosomal RNA (1554 nucleotides) under Klebsiella pneumoniae. RNAcentral's name for it is "bacterial SSU rRNA". It matches the Rfam family "Bacterial small subunit ribosomal RNA". The record is from RNAcentral. RNAcentral also lists the same sequence under 2 other names. Lineage: Bacteria; Pseudomonadati; Pseudomonadota; Gammaproteobacteria; Enterobacterales; Enterobacteriaceae.
ACUUAAAUUGAAGAGUUUGAUCAUGGCUCAGAUUGAACGCUGGCGGCAGGCCUAACACAUGCAAGUCGAGCGGUAGCACAGAGAGCUUGCUCUCGGGUGACGAGCGGCGGACGGGUGAGUAAUGUCUGGGAAACUGCCUGAUGGAGGGGGAUAACUACUGGAAACGGUAGCUAAUACCGCAUAACGUCGCAAGACCAAAGUGGGGGACCUUCGGGCCUCAUGCCAUCAGAUGUGCCCAGAUGGGAUUAGCUAGUAGGUGGGGUAAUGGCUCACCUAGGCGACGAUCCCUAGCUGGUCUGAGAGGAUGACCAGCCACACUGGAACUGAGACACGGUCCAGACUCCUACGGGAGGCAGCAGUGGGGAAUAUUGCACAAUGGGCGCAAGCCUGAUGCAGCCAUGCCGCGUGUGUGAAGAAGGCCUUCGGGUUGUAAAGCACUUUCAGCGGGGAGGAAGGCGUUAAGGUUAAUAACCUUGGCGAUUGACGUUACCCGCAGAAGAAGCACCGGCUAACUCCGUGCCAGCAGCCGCGGUAAUACGGAGGGUGCAAGCGUUAAUCGGAAUUACUGGGCGUAAAGCGCACGCAGGCGGUCUGUCAAGUCGGAUGUGAAAUCCCCGGGCUCAACCUGGGAACUGCAUUCGAAACUGGCAGGCUAGAGUCUUGUAGAGGGGGGUAGAAUUCCAGGUGUAGCGGUGAAAUGCGUAGAGAUCUGGAGGAAUACCGGUGGCGAAGGCGGCCCCCUGGACAAAGACUGACGCUCAGGUGCGAAAGCGUGGGGAGCAAACAGGAUUAGAUACCCUGGUAGUCCACGCCGUAAACGAUGUCGAUUUGGAGGUUGUGCCCUUGAGGCGUGGCUUCCGGAGCUAACGCGUUAAAUCGACCGCCUGGGGAGUACGGCCGCAAGGUUAAAACUCAAAUGAAUUGACGGGGGCCCGCACAAGCGGUGGAGCAUGUGGUUUAAUUCGAUGCAACGCGAAGAACCUUACCUGGUCUUGACAUCCACAGAACUUUCCAGAGAUGGAUUGGUGCCUUCGGGAACUGUGAGACAGGUGCUGCAUGGCUGUCGUCAGCUCGUGUUGUGAAAUGUUGGGUUAAGUCCCGCAACGAGCGCAACCCUUAUCCUUUGUUGCCAGCGGUUAGGCCGGGAACUCAAAGGAGACUGCCAGUGAUAAACUGGAGGAAGGUGGGGAUGACGUCAAGUCAUCAUGGCCCUUACGACCAGGGCUACACACGUGCUACAAUGGCAUAUACAAAGAGAAGCGACCUCGCGAGAGCAAGCGGACCUCAUAAAGUAUGUCGUAGUCCGGAUUGGAGUCUGCAACUCGACUCCAUGAAGUCGGAAUCGCUAGUAAUCGUAGAUCAGAAUGCUACGGUGAAUACGUUCCCGGGCCUUGUACACACCGCCCGUCACACCAUGGGAGUGGGUUGCAAAAGAAGUAGGUAGCUUAACCUUCGGGAGGGCGCUUACCACUUUGUGAUUCAUGACUGGGGUGAAGUCGUAACAAGGUAACCGUAGGGGAACCUGCGGUUGGAUCACCUCCUUACCUUAAAGAA